This 325-nucleotide long non-coding RNA is filed under the name Hordeum vulgare. RNAcentral's name for it is "long non-coding RNA (HVUL_LNC006737)". Lineage: Eukaryota; Viridiplantae; Streptophyta; Magnoliopsida; Poales; Poaceae. The record is from RNAcentral.
UAGUAUUCAAAUUAGCAUGCAUUCAAUUAUAAGCAAAACUACAUCAUCUCUUUUGUCCAUACAUCGUUGAAUAUUAUCACUACUACUCCUCGAAUACUAUCAUACAUAUAGCAUCACUGAUACAGCUAGAACCGUAGCGCCCGACGGGUAUCGUCGCGGGCGGUGGACACCCAAAGAGAAGGAACCAUCACAGGAUCAUAGCUCCAGUGAGAUCCCCGAAGAACCUGCCAGGUAUGCUCGAACCUGCCCUCCAAUGCAACCAUGUAGCGACGGACGUGUUCAUCCUCCUCGCUGACACGGUGACGUACCACCUCUGCGGUGUCCG